RNAcentral lists this ribosomal RNA (445 nucleotides) under uncultured bacterium. Its description in RNAcentral is "partial 16S ribosomal RNA". It matches the Rfam family "Bacterial small subunit ribosomal RNA", at positions 354 to 796 of the family's 1533-position model. The record is from RNAcentral.
GUGAGGAAUAUUGGUCAAUGGGCGAGAGCCUGAACCAGCCAAGUCGCGUGAAGGAUGAAGGUUUUAUGAAUUGUAAACUUCUUUUGCAGGGGAAUAAAGUACGGUACGUGUACCGUUUUGUAUGUACUCUGCGAAUAAGGAUCGGCUAACUCCGUGCCAGCAGCCGCGGUAAUACGGAGGAUCCAAGCGUUAUCCGGAUUUAUUGGGUUUAAAGGGUGCGCAGGCGGGUUGAUAAGUCAGCGGUGAAAGUUUGCAGCUUAACUGUAAAAUUGCCGUUGAAACUGUCGAUCUUGAGUGCAAAUGAGGUAAGAGGAAUGUGUUGUGUAGCGGUGAAAUGCUUAGAUAUAACACAGAACACCGAUUGCGAAGGCAGCUUACUGGGAUGCAACUGACGCUCAUGCACGAAAGCGUGAGGAUCAAACAGGAUUAGAAACCCCGGUAGUCC